AAGUAGGGCGGGACACGUGAAAUCCUGUCUGAAGAUCGGAGGACCACCUUCGAAGGCUAAGUACUCCUUGCUGACCGAUAGCGAACCAGUACCGUGAGGGAAAGGUGAAAAGCACCCCGACGAGGGGAGUGAAACAGUACCUGAAACCGAACGCCUACAAUCAGUCGGAGCUCCUUACGGAGUGACGGCGUACCUUUUGUAUAA
This 204-nucleotide ribosomal RNA is filed under the name Conticribra weissflogii. Its description in RNAcentral is "partial Bacterial large subunit ribosomal RNA". It matches the Rfam family "Bacterial large subunit ribosomal RNA", at positions 410 to 615 of the family's 2925-position model. The record is from RNAcentral. Lineage: Eukaryota; Bacillariophyta; Thalassiosirophyceae; Thalassiosirales; Thalassiosiraceae.